This 486-nucleotide ribosomal RNA is filed under the name uncultured bacterium. RNAcentral's name for it is "bacterial SSU rRNA". It matches the Rfam family "Bacterial small subunit ribosomal RNA", at positions 8 to 507 of the family's 1533-position model. The record is from RNAcentral.
AGAGUUUGAUCAUGGCUCAGAAUGAACGUUGGCGGCGUGGAUUAGGCAUGCAAGUCGAGCGCGAUAUGUAGCAAUACAUGGAGAGCGGCGAAAGGGAGAGUAAUACGUAGGUAUCUACCCUCGGGUCUGGGAUAGCAGCGGGAAACUGCUGGUAAUACCAGAUAACGUCUCCGGACCAAAGGUGUGAUUCCACCUGAGGAGGAGCCUACGGCCUAUUAGCUAGUUGGUAGGGUAACGGCCUACCAAGGCAAAGAUGGGUAUGGGGUGUGAGAGCAUGCCCCCACUCACUGGGACUGAGACACUGCCCAGACACUUACGGGUGGCUGCAGUCGAGAAUCUUCGGCAAUGGGCGAAAGCCUGACCGAGCGACGCCGCGUGCGGGAUGAAGGCCUUCGGGUUGUAAACCGCUGUCGUAGUGGAGGAAAUGUAGGAGAGUUAUCUCUUCUACUUGACUAAUACUAGGAGGAAGGACCGGCUAAUCUCGUG